This 1020-nucleotide long non-coding RNA is filed under the name Marmota monax (woodchuck). Lineage: Eukaryota; Metazoa; Chordata; Mammalia; Rodentia; Sciuridae. The record is from RNAcentral.
UGGCCUCUCACAUUUAGGAUAUUAGCAGGUUUAGCUGGCAAAUGACCUGAUGACAAGAUUAUUACUGACUUAAAAUCCAUAACUUUUUCUCUUUUCUCUCCACCACACCCAAUUAUUUGAUCCUGGAUUAUACACUGUUGAAGGAGUGGGAAUGGAAUUCAGCUGACGUUGACUCUACUCCCAGUUCUGCCCUCAUUAACCAGCUGUUUGACCUAAGACAAGCCUUUUGCCCUUUCUGGACUUAGGUUUCCUCAUCUGAAAAGCAAAAGACCCAGCCUCUAGAAUGCCUUGUGGACUAGCUGUGAAGGAACCUGCUAUCCCAGAGCCUGGAGAGGUUAUCUGCUGCCAGCUACUGUUGACUCUUGGAACUUCUGUUCAUAAAAGGCUGAUUCUCCAACACUGUCAGCUCUAGAAAUCCUCAGUGUUUGCAUUCUGUACUGUUCCUCCAGUGCAGACAAACUUUGACUGCGAUUUAGGUUCAAACCCCCAGAAGAGGUUCAGGAAGAACCUCCUCCCUUAUAAAGACUAAUCCAAAAAAUCUAGCCUUCCCAGGGUAGCUAGGUCAUAUUUCCUGUGUGUUUACUCAGUCACCUGAUGUUUGUUUAUUUUCUAUUCAAUCAUCUGGGGCUAAUAUUUCUUUAUGAUUCUCAAGUUUCAGCAACUGAGCAUGUGUGCCUCUGUGAAAGCCUUCUCUGUGGGUAUUUCUCUGUUCUCCUUUUGGAGAAGUUUCUAGGAGGAAAUGUGAUAUAAUUGCAUGCAGUACAACUGAACAAAAGGGUAGGAAGAUAUCCAGGAGUAUCCUUCACAGGUUCCUGGGCCAGAGACAGUAGCCCCUGUUGACAUGGACUGAGAGCUGACUCUGACCUUGGCAAAUUCUCUCUAUCCCUAACUUUCUGUGAAAGUAUGUGGUAUCCGCCUACACCCUUUCCUCUUGCCUGCAGUGGGUAUAAAACACCUUUCAAUAGAUACUAGAUUGAAAAGUCACUAAAAGCUAACAUUCCUUAUGCAGUACUCUACUGC